CGUGGGAACAAGAGAGCAGUUCGCCAGCCUCAUCGAGCUGCACAUACUCCGGCCGCUCAGACUGGUGGAGUUUCUGCGGUCACCCUGACAACCAGUCUUCUGAAAUAAACCUGUCAUGGAACGCAGAGCGGAUUUCUGCGGCUUCGUUGGACCACACAUACUCGUGCACCGUAUUAAAGAAUAG
This is a long non-coding RNA of Ixodes scapularis (black-legged tick), 184 nucleotides long. RefSeq lists it as uncharacterized. The transcript has 3 exons. The record is from RefSeq and is a predicted model, not a curated record. Lineage: Eukaryota; Metazoa; Arthropoda; Arachnida; Ixodida; Ixodidae.